CCUGGAGACCCCAGCAGAAGAAGACAAAUAUGAAAUCCAUUAUUCAUCAUUUUCUCUGGGAAAUACAAGUCCAGGUGCAGUGAGGAAACAGAACAAUUACAGACCUGACUCUACAAAUGAGUGUCUUAAACAACAAUCAGAUACAGUGGUCUAUUCAAGCCUCAAUGUGACAUGAGACCUACAGUGUUCCCCACCCGGAUAAA
Long non-coding RNA from Megalops cyprinoides (Indo-Pacific tarpon), 203 nucleotides. RefSeq lists it as uncharacterized. Lineage: Eukaryota; Metazoa; Chordata; Actinopteri; Elopiformes; Megalopidae. The transcript is spliced from 3 exons. The record is from RefSeq and is a predicted model, not a curated record.